Molecule: ribosomal RNA, 253 nt
Filed under: uncultured bacterium
Lineage: Bacteria
Description: partial 16S ribosomal RNA
Rfam family: Bacterial small subunit ribosomal RNA
Source: RNAcentral
UACGUAAGGCGCGAGCGUUAAUCGGAUUUAUUGGGCGUAAAGGGUGCGUAGGCGGGAAUGUAAGUCGGGCGUGAAAUUCCGGGGCUCAACCUCGGACCUGCACUCGAUACUGCAUUUCUUGAGGAUAGGCGGGGAAAGCGGAAUUUCGCAUGUAGCGGUGAAAUGCGUAGAUAUGCGAAAGAACACCUGUGGCGUAGGCGGCUUUCUAGCUUAUUCCUGACGCUGAGGCACGAAAGCAAGGGGAUCAAACAGG